UCCCUGGUGGUCCAGUGGCCAAGACUGCACACUUUCAAUGCAAUGGACCUGGGUUCUAUCCCUGGUCAGGGAA
Molecule: transfer RNA, 73 nt
Filed under: Bos taurus (domestic cattle)
Lineage: Eukaryota; Metazoa; Chordata; Mammalia; Artiodactyla; Bovidae
Also listed under: 2 other names
Rfam family: tRNA
About the family: Transfer RNA (tRNA) molecules are approximately 80 nucleotides in length. Their secondary structure includes four short double-helical elements and three loops (D, anti-codon, and T loops). Further hydrogen bonds mediate the characteristic L-shaped molecular structure. tRNAs have two regions of fundamental functional importance: the anti-codon, which is responsible for specific mRNA codon recognition, and the 3' end, to which the tRNAs corresponding amino acid is attached (by aminoacyl-tRNA synthetases). tRNAs cope with the degeneracy of the genetic code in two manners: having more than one tRNA (with a specific anti-codon) for a particular amino acid; and 'wobble' base-pairing, i.e. permitting non-standard base-pairing at the 3rd anti-codon position.
Source: Rfam by way of RNAcentral